UAGGCAACAGCUUCACCAUCACUUGCUCUGUUAAGGUGGUGCCUUUCACCUGCAGAUCAAUGGAAUGGCUGUUCAGUCAGAGAGCACCUACAGUGGCUCCGUCACCUUCUCGGUUCCUGCUGCACAGUAUUCCCACAUGGGGAAUUAUACCUGCAGCUAUGAGGCUGAAGUGUUCAAUCGGACGUUUGUCUCACCUUCAAGUGCUUUGAUGCCCCUAACUGUGAGAGUGAAAGAGGAGGCUGCAUUGGACUGUAUUUUUACAUUCAUUGGGAUCUUCACAAACUGCUCAUGACAUGAAAUUAUAAUACUUUGCAAUAUGUAAGCAAACAUUUUUGCAAAUGAACAACAAUUUUAGUAAGCCCUUAGAAUAUUGAAG
Molecule: long non-coding RNA, 376 nt
Filed under: Lepisosteus oculatus (spotted gar)
Lineage: Eukaryota; Metazoa; Chordata; Actinopteri; Semionotiformes; Lepisosteidae
Description: lncRNA (ENSLOCG00000022112.1)
Source: RNAcentral